GACGAACCGAGCGAACGUUAUUCGGAAUCACUGGGCUUAAAGGGUGCGUAGGCGGGCCCGUCAGUCAGGGGUGAAAUCCCACGGCCCAACCGUGGAAGUGCCUCUGAUACUGCGGGCCUGGAGGGGGAUAGGGGCGUGCGGAACUUCCGGUGGAGCGGUGAAAUGCGUAGAUAUCGGAAGGAACGCCGGUGGCGAAAGCGAUCGACUGGACCUUUUCUGACGCUGAGGCGCGAAAGCCAGGGGAGCAAACGGG
This 253-nucleotide ribosomal RNA is filed under the name uncultured bacterium. RNAcentral describes it as "partial 16S ribosomal RNA". It matches the Rfam family "Bacterial small subunit ribosomal RNA", at positions 524 to 776 of the family's 1533-position model. The record is from RNAcentral.